CGCGGUGUAGCUCAGUUAGUUGAGAGCGCGCGGCUCAUACCCGCGAGGUCACUGGGGCAGAGCCAGUCACCGCAACCA
This 78-nucleotide transfer RNA is filed under the name Burkholderiaceae bacterium. RNAcentral describes it as "tRNA-Met". Lineage: Bacteria; Pseudomonadati; Pseudomonadota; Betaproteobacteria; Burkholderiales; Burkholderiaceae. The record is from RNAcentral.